Molecule: ribosomal RNA, 1746 nt
Filed under: metagenome
Description: bacterial LSU rRNA
Rfam family: Bacterial large subunit ribosomal RNA
Source: RNAcentral
GCGGAUUAGNUUNGNAUUUAUCAUUUUUUNUANUAUUNUAGUAUUAGAAAAUAAUUGGAAUAUUAUUACCAUAGAAGGUGAUAGUCCUGUAUAAUAUUAUAAAAUAAAAACAUAAAUGCAUUAAGUAGGGCGAUACACGUGAAAUAUUGCUUAAAGUAUAGGGAGACCACUCUCUAAAUCUAAAAAAAUAUAAUAAUCGAUAGUGUACUAGUACCGUGAGGGAAAGAUGAAAUAUGAUACCUAAAGUGGUAGUGAAAAGAUCCUGAAAUUUAAUGUUGAUAAUCAGUUGGAGCUUUAUAAUAUAAGUGACAACGUACCUUUUGUAUAAUGGGUCAGCAAGUUAAUUAAAUUAGCAAGUUUAAAUUGAUAAAUGCGAAACGUAGCGAAAGCGAGUCUGAAUUUAGGGCGUUAGUUAAUUUAAUUAUACCCGAAACCAAGUGAUCUAACUAUGAGCAGGCUGCGAAAAUAUAAUUUUUAAAGGCCGAACCCGUGUCUGUAGAAAUAUACUGGGAUGACUUGUGGUUAGGGGUGAAAGGCUAAUCAAACUUGGAGAUAGCUGGUUUUCCGCGAAAUCUAUUUAGGUAGAGCGUAAUAAAGAUAAUGAUUAGGGGUAGAGCACUCAAUGAUCUAGGGGGAUCCAAAAAUCUUACUGAAUUCAAUGAAACUUCGAAUACUAAUUUUUUUAACUAUUACAGACAGACUUUGGGUGCUAAGGUCCAAAGUCAAGAGGUAAACAGCCCAGAUCGUUUGUUAAGGUCCUUAAAUAUAAUUAAGUGAAUAAGGAUGCUAGAAAACUAGAACAACUUUGAGGUGGGCUUGGAAGCAGCCAUCCUUUUUAGAAAGCGUAACUGCUCAAUAGUCUAGAUUUCUAGUACCGAUAAUGUAUAGGGACUAAAUUAUAUACCGAAACAACGAAUGUAUAUUUACAUAGUAGCGGAACAUUCUGUUAAUUUGAAGUUUAAUUGACGAGAUUAAGUGGAGAUAUCAGAAUAGCGAAUGCUGACAUGAGUAACGUAAAACAACUUAUAAAAGUUGUCGCCGGAAAUAGAAGGGUUUCUACGGAAGGUUAAACCGCGUAGAGUUAAACGGUUCCUAAGAUGAUAUUUUAGAGUGUGAAAACUAUAAUCGAUGGAUAUUUUUAAAAAUAAUGACGGCAUUUAAGCCCGGGAAAGAGUUAUUUUAAUAUUAAUAAUAAACCGUACCCAAAACCAACACAGGUCUAUUGGCGCGUAAUGUGUUAAGGCGAUAGAGAUAACAAUAUUGAAGGAACUCGGCAAAAUUAUCUUGUAACUUCGGGAGAAAAGAUGGCUUUUUUAAAGCUCUCAGAAAAUUAGGGGGUAGCGACUGUUUAUUAAAAACACAAGACUCUGCAAAAUCUAAAAAUGACGUAUAGGGUCUGACACCUGCCCGGUGCUGUAAGGUUAACUCAUGAAGAUUUAGGUCUUUUAAAGAAGCCCCAGUAAACGGCGGCCGUAACUCUGACGGUCCAAAGGUAGCGAAAUUCCUUGUCGGGUAAGUUCCGACCCGCACGAAUGGUGUAACGACUUCCCCACUGUCUCCAAUAUUGACUCUGUGAAAUUGAACUAUCCGUGAAGAUGCGGAUUAUCUACAGCUAGACGGAAAGACCCCGUGCACCUUUACUGCAGCUUUAUAAUGAGAGGAACAUUAAUUGUAUAGGAUAAGUGGUAGCUUUUUAGACCUUAACAUAAGUUAAAUGUUUAAAGCAACCUUGGAAUACCACUCUUU